This 524-nucleotide ribosomal RNA is filed under the name uncultured bacterium. Its description in RNAcentral is "partial 16S ribosomal RNA". It matches the Rfam family "Bacterial small subunit ribosomal RNA", at positions 28 to 523 of the family's 1533-position model. The record is from RNAcentral.
GACGAACGCUGGCGGCGUGCCUAAUACAUGCAAGUCGAGCGCAGGAAACUGACGGAACUCUUCGGAGGGAAGGCAGUGGAAUGAGCGGCGGACGGGUGGGUAACACGUAAGGAACCUGCCUCAAGGAUUGGGAUAACUCCGAGAAAUCGGAGCUAAUACCGGAUAGUUCAACGGACCGCAUGGUCCGCUGACGAAAGGCGCUCCGGCGUCACCUUGAGAUGGCCUUGCGGUGCAUUAGCUAGUUGGUGGGGUAACGGCCCACCAAGGCGCCGAUGCAUAGCCGACCUGGGAGGGUGAUCGGGCACACUGGGACUGAGACACGGCCCAGACUCCUACGGGAGGCAGCAGUAGGGAAUCUUCCACAAUGGACGAAAGUCUGAUGGAGCAACGCCGCGUGAGUGAUGAAGGUUUUCGGAUCGUAAAACUCUGUUGUAAGGGAAGAACACGUACGAGAGGGAAUGCUCGUACCUUGACGGUACCUUACGAGAAAGCCACGGCUAACUACGUGCCAGCAGCCGCGGUAA